RNAcentral lists this RNase P RNA (381 nucleotides) under Parendozoicomonas haliclonae. RNAcentral describes it as "Bacterial RNase P class A". It matches the Rfam family "Bacterial RNase P class A". Rfam says of the family: Ribonuclease P (RNase P) is a ubiquitous endoribonuclease, found in archaea, bacteria and eukarya as well as chloroplasts and mitochondria. Its best characterised activity is the generation of mature 5'-ends of tRNAs by cleaving the 5'-leader elements of precursor-tRNAs. The record is from Rfam by way of RNAcentral. Lineage: Bacteria; Pseudomonadati; Pseudomonadota; Gammaproteobacteria; Oceanospirillales; Endozoicomonadaceae.
CAAGAUGGCCGGACAGUCGCUGUUCUCAAUUGUGUUUACAUGGUUGGGGAGGGAGGAAAGUCCGGGCUCCACAGGACAGAGUGCCAGGUAACGCCUGGGGGGCGAAAGCCUACGGAAAGUGCCGCAGAGAGUAGACCGCCUAAAUCAGCUUUGCUGAUCGGUAAGGGUGAAAGGGUGCGGUAAGAGCGCACCGCAUCGCUGGUAACAGCGCAUGGCAGGGUAAACCCCACUCGGAGCAAGACCAAAUAGGUGUUCUUUGGCGUGGUCCGCGCUGAACACGGGUAGGUUGCUUGAGGUGUACGGCGACGUGCAUCCCAGAUGAAUGGCUGUCGAGGCUUCUUUGAAGCUGAACAGAACCCGGCUUACAGGCCAUCUUGCGGG